This 65-nucleotide transfer RNA is filed under the name Sinopodisma houshana. Its description in RNAcentral is "tRNA-Cys". The record is from RNAcentral. Lineage: Eukaryota; Metazoa; Arthropoda; Insecta; Orthoptera; Acrididae.
GGCUUUAUAUUCAAUUAUUAUUUUAGACUGCAAUUAUAGAGGUGUAAAUAACUUUACUAAGGCCU